Metopolophium dirhodum (rose-grain aphid) is the source of this 1328-nucleotide long non-coding RNA. RefSeq lists it as uncharacterized. NCBI's taxonomy places the organism in Eukaryota, Metazoa, Arthropoda, Insecta, Hemiptera, Aphididae. The transcript has 4 exons. The record is from RefSeq and is a predicted model, not a curated record.
AUAAGUAUUAUUACGAAGUAAUGUGAAAAUGGUUUUAUAAAAGUAAUGAUUAAUAAAUUAAAUUAAAUUAAAUUAAUAAAAGUAUAGUAGUAUUAUGAAAAUAUUUAAGUAAAUAUUAUCUUGUGGCGGACAACGGCAUUCACAUUCACAUUUAUAUUCAUAAUAUCAUGUUUAAUGUUAUAGUACAUGACAGUUAAUUAAAUAAAACUAACACCAGCAAAAUCCACGUGCCGAUCCUAUCAAAGGAGCCAACAUUGUAUAUAGAAGGAACUGCAGGAACACGGCAUAAUAUUCAGAUGUACCAUAGCCGCUAUUCGCCAAGACCAGAGCUACAUCACCCCACACUCAGCCACGUACACUUUUAUACGAUUACUACUUGAAAUAUAUUUCUAGAAUAAACAACUAUUUCAUUUUACUAUUCUAAUUGCACGAAAUCCCGAAUGUUGAAUAGUCUACGAGUUACUACACAUAUGUCGCAUAGUGUACACUGCGUAUUGGAUGUUUCACUCGUAUGUAGUUAAAACACUUCAUCGCCUGGAUCAUUAGCAAAGCUGCACAUAAUUGGCUCAGUCAAUAAAGGAUUUACAAAAAAGGCAAACCAGCGGUAUUGCUCACUGACAAUUCUGUGCAUGAGAUCCAAACAACAACAAUGUAGCAGCACUGUUAUUAUCAACAUUUUAAUUUACAAUGAUUUAAAGGAUGUUUUGAUAUCUACCACACAUUCUUACACUAGAUGUGUCAUUGAAACAUUCAGCUACUCAUAUUCUCGCCAUAUAAUCUACAGAGAUCUGAAACAUAAAAAUUGAACAUCACUGGUUGUGUGAAAUUUGACGAUUUUGCUUUAGCCAUAAAACCAAAAAAGAGAAGAGAAACAAGGAAGUUCUAUAGAACACCAGAAUACAUUACACCUGAUCUAUUUUCAACAGAGUUCAUGAUUUCUUUGGAGUACUUAUGUUUGAAUUGAAUUACUGUAAAACAAAGCCCAAGGAAAAAAUAUUACCUAGUAGCUAGUAGUUUUUAAUUAGUAGAAUUAAUGUACAAAACAAAUUUUAAUAAUUUAAUAUUGUAUUAUAGCACUUAACUGACCAAUGACAUAUUUGUGUUAAAAUGUUUUUCCUAUAACGACCAAAACUAUAAACUGUUGUCUAUAGGUAAUAGUGUACCUAUUUAUUAUAAUGAUAGUGUUUACCAAGGCCGAAUUAUGGUCAUAAUGUAAGGGCCCAGGUUAUUACUUAUGGUGAGGCCAAAACAAUUUUGUUAUUUUAUUCAGAUUUAAUAAUUUAUAAUAAAUAUUAAUUAAAAUCAGUAAAGUAUAUUUGUAUAUUGUA